CCUACGGGUGGCAGCAGUGGGGAAUAUUGCGCAAUGGGCGAAAGCCUGACGCAGCGACGCCGCGUGAGGGAUGAAGGUCUUCGGAUCGUAAACCUCUGUCAGCAGGGAAGAACGGUCACUGUGCUAAUCAGCAGUGAAUUGACGGUACCUGCAAAGGAAGCACCGGCUAACUCCGUGCCAGCAGCCGCGGUAAUACGUAGGGUCCGUGCGUUAAUUGGAAGUACUGGGCGUAAAGCGCUCGUAGGCGGUAUGUCAAGUCAAGGGUGAAAUCCCCGCGCUCAACGUGGGAACUGCCUUUGAAACUGGCAGUCUGGAGUAUAUGAGAGGAUAGUGGAAUUCCAGGUGUAGGGGUGAAAUCCGUAGAUAUCUGGAGGAACAUCAGUGGCGAAGGCGACUAUCUGGCACAUAACUGACGCUGAGGAGCGAAAGCGUGGGUAGCAAACAGGAUUAGAUACCCCAGUAGUC
Molecule: ribosomal RNA, 465 nt
Filed under: uncultured bacterium
Lineage: Bacteria
Description: partial 16S ribosomal RNA
Rfam family: Bacterial small subunit ribosomal RNA
Source: RNAcentral